Long non-coding RNA from Thunnus maccoyii (southern bluefin tuna), 1015 nucleotides. RefSeq lists it as uncharacterized. The record is from RefSeq and is a predicted model, not a curated record. The transcript is spliced from 5 exons. Lineage: Eukaryota; Metazoa; Chordata; Actinopteri; Scombriformes; Scombridae.
CCACUCCAGCAUUACAGUGAACAUAGACUGUGUGACCAUUUUCCAGGAGACCAUGAAGCAGGAAUACAGCCUGGGGAAGCAUCCUGAUGCGUCCUGUAGAAGGGAAUAAUAACACAAUGGCAAUAUUCAUCUGUAUGGAUUGUAUUUGUCAUCAAAUCCCUUUAAAAGGAUUUACAGUACAUUACAGUCAAAAUAAACUUCUGACAUCAACAGGUACCAAUGUAGGUGGUGUAGCUGCUGUAAAUAUACUUUAUAUAGACUUUCUGUGACUUGUUAAUGAGAUUUCUUAGUGUGAUCACACACAAGAUGCUUUUGUCUUGGAUACUCUAAGAUUUUUUUUUUUUUUUUACUAGAAUUCAUCAUGGACACAUGGAUUCUUCUUUUGUGACUGGCACGAUACAUGAGUGACCAAUUGGGUGACAGUACACUCCAUCCACCAUGUUCCUCUUAUCAUAUGAACAACUUCUGUCGUGGUGUGGACCAUUGCCUGUUGACAAAGAAGACAACAUUUGUGCAGGUCGGACAACUCUGCUUGAAAUUCCUUGAUCAUCUCCUUAGGCUCAGACUCGUCAAAUCGUUCUUCAGGGUAUGAACCCAAGGGAACCUGCCAAAAGAACAAUAACAAAACAGGAAAUCAGACUGACACAGCAAUUUGUCAAGGGUCUCCAGAAUUGUCUCCAUGCUUGACUCCCCCUUGGUAGUUGGAGGUGGUUUGCGCAGCAGGAGCGAGCCAUUGGGCAUCCAGGAGCUGUAGUCAAACUAAAUCACAAAAUAAGCUUCACUUCAGGCCGUCAUCUCUGUAGUAGAAGUUGGGGAUUGACUCCAGUCCUCGUGCAGUGAUGUUCUCCGGCAGACAGAGGGAGCUGUAGGUCAACUCAGAGAGAGACCUUCUCUGGAUCUCUAUCAGCCCCUCAUAUCCAAGUGAACUCUAGUAAUUAAUAACACACAAAUAAUUAGGUUCAGAUAAGUUUCAUGAGGUAGAAAAUAAUAAAAACUGUUUUUAAAGAGUGCAUUA